GAGUGGCGAACGGGUGAGUAAUAUAUCGGAACGUACCCGAUAGUGGGGGAUAACGUAGCGAAAGUUACGCUAAUACCGCAUACGAUCUAAGGAUGAAAGUGGGGGAUCGCAAGACCUCAUGCUCGUGGAGCGGCCGAUAUCUGAUUAGCUAGUUGGUAGGGUAAAAGCCUACCAAGGCAUCGAUCAGUAGCUGGUCUGAGAGGACGACCAGCCACACUGGAACUGAGACACGGUCCAGACUCCUACGGGAGGCAGCAGUGGGGAAUUUUGGACAAUGGGCGAAAGCCUGAUCCAGCAAUGCCGCGUGAGUGAAGAAGGCCUUCGGGUUGUAAAGCUCUUUUGUCAGGGAAGAAACGGUGAAAGCUAAUAUCUUUUGCUAAUGACGGUACCUGAAGAAUAAGCACCGGCUAACUACGUGCCAGCAGCCGCGGUAAUACGUAGGGUGCAAGCGUUAAUCGGAAUUACUGGGCGUAAAGCGUGCGCAGGCGGUUUUGUAAGUCUGAUGUGAAAUCCCCGGGCUCAACCUGGGAAUUGCAUUGGAGACUGCAAGGCUAGAAUCUGGCAGAGGGGGGUAGAAUUCCACGUGUAGCAGUGAAAUGCGUAGAUAUGUGGAGG
RNAcentral lists this ribosomal RNA (615 nucleotides) under uncultured bacterium. Its description in RNAcentral is "bacterial SSU rRNA". It matches the Rfam family "Bacterial small subunit ribosomal RNA", at positions 93 to 704 of the family's 1533-position model. The record is from RNAcentral.